CGCCCCGCGCGCCGGGACAGCCGUCGGGGGAGCGCCGCCGCCGCCACCGCCUCCGCGCGCCCUUCCCGGCGGCCCUCGCGCCGCCCGCGCCGCCGCCGAGGAUGACGACGAUGACGACAGCGAUCCAGAAAAAAACCAGGAGCAAUGAAAAACAUGGAGUCAGGAGGAGCAGUAGCAGCAGACCCAGGAGUAGGUGAUGCAUCGCAGCCAGUGGAUUGCUGGUAUGAAGCUGUGCCAUGUCUGGAGCAGAAAUCUGACAAAAGAGAGAUUGCAUUCAAAUGUCACCACUAUAAAGGGUACCACAUAAAAUGGAAGUAACCAAGAUGGAAGAAGAAGCAUCUGUCUUGUAAGGAGAGCUCAGUCUGAUCCUGAGCCAGGAUGCAGCCAUUGGUUACGUCUGCAUACAGUCAGAGCUGUUCAGGCUGCUUGCAAAGAGCCAACACAGGCACCAAGCCUACAGCAAGAGCUGAGGUCAGAUGUUCACAACAAAAACAGCUUACUUCUGUCAUUGAAUGGUAGUUUUCGUAGUAUGAGGAAGAUCCACGAGCAUUGACUGUGUCAUUGACAGUCUGUUGUUCAAUAAUUCCCUGAACAUCUCUCAUCAAGACUCUGAAUAACAAAGGAAGAGCACAACCUCCUGUUAAAUAAAUGACAAACAACUUUACGGAAUCAUUCAUGACAACAAAUAAAAAAUACAUACUUGUGUUGGAUGGUCAGUUGCCUUAACUGAGCUUUUAUGCUAUUUAUGCUGGAUGCCCUGACAUAGAAAUGGACUUCUCUGUCCUUCUGGAUGUUUUCAACCACAACAGGUUGCCAGAGAAUGACCUACAAAGUUUCCAAAAACAUUUUAUUUAUUUUACUGAGGAAAGAAAAAAUAUUCUUACUAACAUUUAAUAAGCAUUUUGAAAAUAAUCAAAGCACAUGUUUUCAAUUUAAGAGACCGCUUGUAACAAGUAGUUUAAUGCUCCUUGUGAUGUGUAGCAUUCUGCUACUUCUGGAAGUGAAAUGUGUGUAUUUAAGAAAGGUUUAUAAUGACUUCUGCACAGAAAUUCAUAAAUCAAGAACAAAGACAAGAACAUAACCUUUUCUGAGAUAGUAUUUCUAGUAUAAUAGAUAUAUUUAGCUGGUUAUUAUGUUACAUGUUUUCAAGUCUGCUGAGAGUUAUUUUCCCUGAGGGCUCUUGGAGAAUUAAUGAAGAUCAGACCAGUCUUUGUAGUUAUUGUAUUCUCUGAUGACUUUGAUCAGGGAGGAAAUAAGUGCCAGAAGGGGUUUGAGUAUAAGUCAAGUUGAAGAAGCAAUACAGAGAUUAGAAAUUGGAGAAAAGUAAGAAAAUGAGAUUGUUCUUGGUAAAAUUAAAUAUAUUGCAAUAAUAAAAUAAAAAGCCAGCAUAUUCAAUCAAAGACUGAAGCUUCAGAACCAAUAAUACAGAAAGAUCUGGGGGUGACAGUUAGCAGUAAAUUAGGCAUAAAUUUAGAGUGUGAAAAAAGUCAGCAUAAUUCUUGGAUUAUUUUUAGGGCAUACAGCAUGAAGUCACCAGACAAUAGGGUUUAUUUUUUUCCUUUACGGUUCAGUUGCACAAGGAAUAUUGUUUGAACAAUAAAUGGUAACCAUUAAAAUUGGUUGGGAGGUACUGCUUGUGUUUACCCUUCCCCUUUUCUCUUUCCCUUUUCCCUUUCCCUUUCCCUUUCCCUUUCCCUUUCCCUUUCCCUUUCCCUUUCCCUUUCCCUUUCCCUUUCCCUUUCCCUUUCCCUUUCCCGUUGCUAUUCCUGUUCUGUUUUUUUCUUAUAGCUUUUAUCUUCUAGAUGCUACCUUUAAAAAAUACCACGAAAACCAAGUCCUGAUCUUCAAAGGUGUGCAAACCAUAUACAGGUCAUGAUCACACUGGUCAAAAGUGCUGAGGUUCCCUAGCAAAUGUAUUUUUACUCUACUGUGUGUUGGUGUUUUCCCAGUUUUGCAGUGCCUUAAUACACAAAAUCAACUGGAGAAAUAUGAGCUCCAAUGUAAUUAAUUACUGAAACAUUAUGUAAACACAUGUAAAUCAGAUGGUUGUGAGAAAUUAAAACCAAGC
This is a long non-coding RNA of Passer domesticus (house sparrow), 2068 nucleotides long. RefSeq lists it as uncharacterized. The transcript has 4 exons. The record is from RefSeq and is a predicted model, not a curated record. Lineage: Eukaryota; Metazoa; Chordata; Aves; Passeriformes; Passeridae.